GACGAACGCUGGCGGCGUGCUUAACACAUGCCAGUCGAACGGAAAGGCCCUGCUUGCAGGGUACUCGAGUGGCGAACGGGUGUGUAACACGUGGGUGAUCUGCCCUGCACUUCGGGAUAAGCCUGGGAAACUGGGUCUAAUACCGGAUAGGAGCCAUUUUUAGUGUGAUGGUUGGAAAGUUUUUUCGGUGUAGGAUGAGCUCGCGGCCUAUCAGCUUGUUGGUGGGGUAAUGGCCUACCAAGGCGGCGACGGGUAGCCGGCCUGAGAGGGUGGACGGCCACAGUGGGACUGAGAGACGGCCCAGACUCCUACGGGAGGCAGCAGUGGGGAAUAUUGCACAAUGGGCGCAAGCCUGAUGCAGCGACGCCGCGUGGGGGAUGACGGCCUUCGGGUUGUAAACUCCUUUCGCUAGGGACGAAGCUUUUUGUGACGGUACCUAGAUAAGAAGCACCGGCUAACUACGUG
Molecule: ribosomal RNA, 465 nt
Filed under: uncultured bacterium
Lineage: Bacteria
Description: partial 16S ribosomal RNA
Rfam family: Bacterial small subunit ribosomal RNA
Source: RNAcentral